CCACAAGAAGAGGAUUAGGGUUCUCCAUUGCACGGGAAAAAGAGAAGACAGAAGAAAAAAAUACACGGUGAGGGGAGAGAGACAGAGAGUGAUGAAGAGAAGAAAAGAAAGGGAGAACUGCCAUCAAAGGAGGAAGAAGAGAAAGAAGGAGAAGAAGACGACGGAAAGAGAAGUUGCCACCGCCACUUUCUCACCGUCUCUGCCUUGCGCUGUUGUUGUUGUUUCUACCUUGCGCUGCCAGAUCUGCCACUACUGUAAUCCCUCUUCUCUGCUCGCCGCCGUCGUGUUUCUCAUUGCUCGAGCUCACGCCUUAUUCUGCUCUGCUCCGUCGUGUUUUUCUGCUCGCGCCGUUCUGAAACCUGUGCUCUGCUCCGCGUUCUGAAACCUUUGCUCUGCUCUGCCGUGGUGCCGUGCUCUAUCCUCUCAGGCAAAUCGACAACUCUCCGCCGUUCACCUCUUUCACUCAAGCCUCUCGCCUCAGCCUCGGUCCUCAACGUCUCUUCCCCCAUCGUCGUCGUUGAAGGCUUGUAGAUUGAUUUUACAUACUACUUGAUUAAUAUAAUUGAAUUGUUGAAUUAAUAACAAUAGUUCCAGUAUACAUCUCUCUCUCUCUCCACGCACAUCUCUUUCAGUUUAAUCGAUUGAAGAAGCUCAUAUAAUCCUUUUCUUCUUUUCAUUGUUUUUGUAGUUUCGAGUUCGAUCAUGUCGAAGGACAAAGACUUUACCGAUUUGUCGCUCACCUUCAAAUACCUCUUAGGCAUCUUAUGUCUCUGUGUUUUCCUCUGAAGAUUAUCAAAGAAGUGUUACUAAUGGUGAGCUUCAAAAAAAGAUGAAUGAUGAAAAAAAAAGAUUACAAGCAAUCGAACUCUGAAGCCAAUGACCGACUCUGUCCAUCUCCUCCGCAAACAAAAGCACUUACUUGUCUGGUCUGAUUUUCAUCCAUGAAUUGAGGACACAUAUGGCUGCAAUAAUUGGGCUACUUGACAUUCUUAUGUCUGACGACUGUCUAACCAACGAACAGUGUGCAACGGUUACUCAUAUAAGAAAAUGCUUGACGGUGCUGUUCCGGCUUCUUAAUAACAUCCUGGAUCUCAGCAAGGUGGAAUCAGGAAAGCUAAUUCUAGAAGAUGCUGAAUUCAACUUGGGAAGGGAACUUGAAGGACUAGUGGAUAUGUUUUCUGUGCAAUCCAUGAAUCACAGUCUAGAGACUGUCUUAGACCUAUCUGAGAGACGGCCCUUGAAAAUUCCAAGCAACUAGUAAGGAACUUAGAAACAAAGCUUGACUCAGCUAAUGCUCAGCACCUUAAGGAGAAAGAAGAAUGGGGACUAAGCCUUAAAAAUGUAGAAGAAACGUGGCGAAUCAAAUGUGACUCAAUGAAGGCUGAAAACGAAGCAACUGUUGCACAAGAUAUGAAAAAGGAGUUGCAAGAGUUCAAACUGCAAUAUAAAAAAUUGAAGGUUGAACAUGCUUCAUUUCAUGAUAUUGCUGAUAAAAUGAUUGAGGAGAAGGAUAAUGAAAUAUCUAGACUUUCAGAUGAUAAUAGGAAUCUUCGUCAAUCUCUUCAAUCAAGACCACAUGUUGACCACAGUGACAAUGAUAAUUAUAACACAGGUAUU
Molecule: non-coding RNA, 1617 nt
Organism: Arachis ipaensis
Lineage: Eukaryota; Viridiplantae; Streptophyta; Magnoliopsida; Fabales; Fabaceae
Source: RefSeq, a predicted model, not a curated record